Molecule: ribosomal RNA, 346 nt
Filed under: uncultured Holophagae bacterium
Lineage: Bacteria; Pseudomonadati; Acidobacteriota; Holophagae
Description: bacterial SSU rRNA
Rfam family: Bacterial small subunit ribosomal RNA
Source: RNAcentral
UGCUGCAUGGCUGUCGUCAGCUCGUGUCGUGAGAUGUUGGGUUAAGUCCCCGCAACGAGCGCAACCCCUGCCCUUAGUUGCCAUCGGGUCACGCCGGGAACUCUAAGGGGGACCGCCCCGGACAACGGGGAGGAAGGUGGGGAUGACGUCAAGUCAGCAUGGCCUUUAUGUCCAGGGCUACACACGUGCUACAAUGGUUGGUACAAAGGGUUGCCAAGCCGUGAGGCGGAGCCAAUCUCAAAAAGCCAACCUCAGUUCGGAUUGCAGUCUGCAACUCGACUGCAUGAAGUUGGAAUCGCUAGUAAUCGCUGAUCAGCAGGCAGCGGUGAAUACGUUCCCGGGCCUU